CUAACUUAGCUAAUUAUGUCAUUUAGGUGGAACCCUAGCUAACUAUAGGUCGUUUUAGAGCUAACUUGGGUAAAAUAGGUCAUUCCGGAGCAAACUAUGCUUAUUAAGCCAUUUUUGAUCUAGCUAGGCUAAUUAUAGGCCAUUUAAUACCUAAGUUAGGGGGAAUAGGUCAUGUUGCAGCUAUGUAAGCCUUAUUAUGUC
RNAcentral lists this long non-coding RNA (201 nucleotides) under Hordeum vulgare. RNAcentral's name for it is "long non-coding RNA (HVUL_LNC017652)". The record is from RNAcentral. Lineage: Eukaryota; Viridiplantae; Streptophyta; Magnoliopsida; Poales; Poaceae.